RNAcentral lists this non-coding RNA (172 nucleotides) under Clostridiales bacterium oral taxon 876 str. F0540. RNAcentral describes it as "Lysine riboswitch aptamer". It matches the Rfam family "Lysine riboswitch aptamer". Rfam says of the family: Riboswitches are metabolite binding domains within certain messenger RNAs that serve as precision sensors for their corresponding targets. Allosteric rearrangement of mRNA structure is mediated by ligand binding, and this results in modulation of gene expression. Lineage: Bacteria; Bacillati; Bacillota; Clostridia; Eubacteriales. RNAcentral also lists the same sequence under 1 other name. The record is from Rfam by way of RNAcentral.
GCCUAGGGUAGAGGUGCUGUAACUAAGAGUAGUCAUAGGGAGCGGGCACGCUGUGAUAUAUGAUAAAAGGGGUUACAGCCGAAGGAAAAAUAUUUUGCUGGUAUUUUUCCUGGCUUUGCAUAGAAUAUAUGCAUGGCUGUCAUCAAAGAUUUGGUGGAGAGCUACAAGGUUC